UGGGGAAUAUUGCACAAUGGGGGGAACCCUGAUGCAGCGACGCCGCGUGAAGGAAGAAGUAUCUCGGUAUGUAAACUUCUAUCAGCAGGGAAGAAAAUGACGGUACCUGACUAGGAAGCCCCGGCUAACUACGUGCCAGCAGCCGCGGUAAUACGUAGGGGGCAAGCGUUAUCCGGAUUUACUGGGUGUAAAGGGAGCGUAGACGGAAGAGCAAGUCUGAUGUGAAAGGCUGGGGCUUAACCCCAGGACUGCAUUGGAAACUGUUGUUCUAGAGUGCCGGAGAGGUAAGCGGAAUUCCUAGUGUAGCGGUGAAAUGCGUAGAUAUUAGGAGGAACACCAGUGGCGAAGGCGGCUUACUGGACGGUAACUGACGUUGAGGCUCGAAAGCGUGGGGAGCAAACAGG
RNAcentral lists this ribosomal RNA (404 nucleotides) under Acidobacteriota bacterium. Its description in RNAcentral is "Acidobacteria bacterium partial 16S ribosomal RNA". It matches the Rfam family "Bacterial small subunit ribosomal RNA", at positions 355 to 776 of the family's 1533-position model. The record is from RNAcentral. Lineage: Bacteria; Pseudomonadati; Acidobacteriota.